This 253-nucleotide ribosomal RNA is filed under the name uncultured bacterium. RNAcentral describes it as "partial 16S ribosomal RNA". It matches the Rfam family "Bacterial small subunit ribosomal RNA", at positions 524 to 776 of the family's 1533-position model. The record is from RNAcentral.
UACGUAGGUGGCAAGCGUUGUCCGGAAUUAUUGGGCGUAAAGGGCGUGUAGGCGGCCUUUUAAGUCAGACGUGAAAACCCUGGGCUUAACCCAGGAACUGCGUUUGAAACUGGAGGGCUUGAGGACCGGAGAGGGUAGUGGAAUUCCCAGUGUAGCGGUGAAAUGCGUAGAUAUUGGGAGGAACACCAGUGGCGAAGGCGACUGCCUGGACGGCACCUGACGCUGAGGCGCGAAAGCUAGGGGAGCAAACGGG